RNAcentral lists this ribosomal RNA (652 nucleotides) under uncultured bacterium. RNAcentral describes it as "bacterial SSU rRNA". It matches the Rfam family "Bacterial small subunit ribosomal RNA", at positions 66 to 715 of the family's 1533-position model. The record is from RNAcentral.
ACGGAGCUGUUUUCUCUGAAGUUUUCGGAUGGAAGAGAGUUCAGCUUAGUGGCGAACGGGUGAGUAACACGUGAGCAACCUGCCUUUCAGUGGGGGACAACAUUUGGAAACGAAUGCUAAUACCGCAUAAGACCACAGUGUCGCAUGGCACAGGGGUCAAAGGAUUUAUCCGCUGAAAGAUGGGCUCGCGUCCGAUUAGCUAGAUGGUGAGGUAACGGCCCACCAUGGCGACGAUCGGUAGCCGGACUGAGAGGUUGAACGGCCACAUUGGGACUGAGACACGGCCCAGACUCCUACGGGAGGCAGCAGUGGGGAAUAUUGCACAAUGGGGGAAACCCUGAUGCAGCGACGCCGCGUGGAGGAAGAAGGUCUUCGGAUUGUAAACUCCUGUCCCAGGGGACGAUAAUGACGGUACCCUGGGAGGAAGCACCGGCUAACUACGUGCCAGCAGCCGCGGUAAAACGUAGGGUGCAAGCGUUGUCCGGAAUUACUGGGUGUAAAGGGAGCGCAGGCGGAUUGGCAAGUUGGGAGUGAAAUCUAUGGGCUCAACCCAUAAAUUGCUUUCAAAACUGUCAGUCUUGAGUGGUGUAGAGGUAGGCGGAAUUCCCGGUGUAGCGGUGGAAUGCGUAGAUAUCGGGAGGAACACCAGUGG